UUGUAUGACAGAGAUAGUCUUCAACCUAUCAUUUCUCACUCAAUCAUCUCCUGAGAUGUAUGAAAGGUCUUGGAAUUCUGGAUUAGAACAAGAAGAAGCUUUGCGAAAUAUCAGUCCAGUCGUAGCUCGUUAAGUCAUGUGUAGUGCAAUUACAUCUGUAAUUUGAUGAUAAGUCUUCUUUAAUUUCAUCGCUGGAAACAACGAUUUGGGGCUUUUGUCUUGAUCGAUUGAUUGGAAUGGAAGGGUACUGAUAUGGGUUUAUUUAUUGUUUGUUUUAUUUUAAUUUGAAAUGUUAAAUUGUGUGUUUGACCAUUUUGCCCCUAUAUUUAAUCAGAUUUAUUUAUUUAAUGAUUAAAAAAUUAUUUUUUUGUCACAUCAG
This 379-nucleotide long non-coding RNA is filed under the name Panax ginseng (ginseng). Its description in RNAcentral is "long non-coding RNA (PGIN_LNC018532)". Lineage: Eukaryota; Viridiplantae; Streptophyta; Magnoliopsida; Apiales; Araliaceae. The record is from RNAcentral.